AUGGUGCCUAUGCCUCAGUGCUGCAGUGUGGCUUCUCUGCUGGUUGCCUCUGAUGUUGUAGUUUCUAUGUGCUGCAGAUCAGUUGAGGAAAGUGGAAGCUCAUUGUCUGAACUGCAGGGACAAACUGAAACUGAACGACUUCUCAAUCCAGAUGCUGCAGGAAGUCUUGCCUGUGAAGAUGCAGCUGACAAGAGUCCUAAUUCAAGCCCUAAUCAGUGAUUUAUGGAUGCAAGAGGAAGAGGCUUUCCCUACCACUGAAGCUAGAGAGCAAGAUCAUGAGCAUCCAGAGUAAUAAUGGACUGAAAGGAAAAAUUGGAAAAGUGAAUUUCAGUCUUUGAUUUCAGAAACAUGAUGUAAUUAUCCACAGUGAUGCAUUAUAGUUUAACUUAAAAAUAUUUCUGUAUUUGUUUAGCUAUGGAAUGUGAAAAAAAAUGACAUCCAGGUGUUAUAUGUUAGUAUU
This 460-nucleotide long non-coding RNA is filed under the name Phascolarctos cinereus (koala). Its description in RNAcentral is "lncRNA (ENSPCIG00000032280.1)". The record is from RNAcentral. Lineage: Eukaryota; Metazoa; Chordata; Mammalia; Diprotodontia; Phascolarctidae.